RNAcentral lists this non-coding RNA (161 nucleotides) under uncultured Treponema sp. Lineage: Bacteria; Pseudomonadati; Spirochaetota; Spirochaetia; Treponematales; Treponemataceae. The record is from RNAcentral.
CCCGCGAGGGCGCGGAUGAAGGAAGUUGGAAGCGAAGUUCGGAGGACACGAACAGGAAAUGGAUACAAGGCCUACUCGCGGGCAAGCCUGCACUACAAGGCAAAGCCCCAACCCUAACCGUAGCGAGGUGGUAAAUCCAUGUCCCGCCGGGCGAAAGAUGU